ACUCCUGCGGGAGGCAGCAGUGGGGAAUAUUGGACAAUGGGCGCAAGCCUGAUCCAGCCAUGCCGCGUGAGUGAUGAAGGCCCUAGGGUUGUAAAGCUCUUUCACCGGUGAAGAUAAUGACGGUAACCGGAGAAGAAGCCCCGGCUAACUUCGUGCCAGCAGCCGCGGUAAUACGAAGGGGGCUAGCGUUGUUCGGAUUUACUGGGCGUAAAGCGCACGUAGGCGGACUAUUAAGUCAGGGGUGAAAUCCCGGGGCUCAACCCCGGAACUGCCUUUGAUACUGGUAGUCUUGAGUUCGAGAGAGGUGAGUGGAAUUCCGAGUGUAGAGGUGAAAUUCGUAGAUAAUCGGAGGAACACCAGUGGCGAAGGCGGCUCACUGGCUCGAUACUGACGCUGAGGUGCGAAAGCGUGGGGAGCAAACAGGAUUAGAAACCCCUGUAGUCC
This 444-nucleotide ribosomal RNA is filed under the name uncultured organism. Its description in RNAcentral is "partial 16S ribosomal RNA". It matches the Rfam family "Bacterial small subunit ribosomal RNA", at positions 335 to 796 of the family's 1533-position model. The record is from RNAcentral.